CGGCGGACGGGUGAGUAACGCGUAGGCGAACCUGCCUCAGCAGAGGGAUAGCCAUUGGAAACGAUGAUUAAAACCUCAUAAUGCUGGACCAACACAUGUUGGAUCAGCCAGAGAUUUAUCGGCUGGGGAUGGGCCUGCGUCUGAUUAACUGGUUGGGUGAGGUAACGGCUCACCAAGGUAACGAUCAGUAGCCGACCUGAGAGGGUGAUCGGCCACAUUGGAACUGAGACACGGUCCAAACUUCUACGGAAGGCAGCAGUAAGGAAUCUUGCACAAUGGGGGAAACCCUGAUGCAGCAACGCCGCGUGAACGAUGAAGGCCUUAGGGUUGUAAAGUUCUGAUCUGUGGGAAGAAGAAAGUGACGGUACCACAGGAGAAAGCCCCGGCUAAAUACGUGCCAGCCGCAGC
RNAcentral lists this ribosomal RNA (408 nucleotides) under uncultured bacterium. RNAcentral's name for it is "bacterial SSU rRNA". It matches the Rfam family "Bacterial small subunit ribosomal RNA", at positions 96 to 518 of the family's 1533-position model. The record is from RNAcentral.